GUCACCUGGGGAUCUUGUUAAAAUGCAGACACUGAUUCAGCAGGUCUGGGAUGAAGCCUGAGAUUUUGCAUUUCUAACAGGUUCUCCAGUGAUGCUGC
RNAcentral lists this microRNA precursor (98 nucleotides) under Equus asinus (donkey). RNAcentral's name for it is "mir-544 microRNA precursor family". It matches the Rfam family "mir-544 microRNA precursor family". Lineage: Eukaryota; Metazoa; Chordata; Mammalia; Perissodactyla; Equidae. RNAcentral also lists the same sequence under 1 other name. The record is from Rfam by way of RNAcentral.